GUAGUCUGCAACUCGACUACAUGAAGCUGGAAUCGCUGUAAUCGCAGAUCAGAAUGCUGCGGUGAAUACGUUCCCGGGUCUUGUACACACCGCCCGUCACACCAUGGGAGUCGGAAAUGCCCGAAGCCGGUGACCCAACCAAAAGGAGGGAGCCGUCGAAGGCAGGUCUGAUAACUGGGGUGAAGUCGUAACAAGGUACC
This 200-nucleotide ribosomal RNA is filed under the name uncultured bacterium. RNAcentral describes it as "partial 16S ribosomal RNA". It matches the Rfam family "Bacterial small subunit ribosomal RNA", at positions 1300 to 1500 of the family's 1533-position model. The record is from RNAcentral.